AGGAGGAACAGCCCCAGUGGCGGGGCAGCUCUGGAAACCUGGAUUCAGCUCCGGCAGGAACUCAGUCUGCAGGGCCUGGAGGCUCCGGGGCGGG
Molecule: non-coding RNA, 94 nt
Organism: Canis lupus familiaris (dog)
Lineage: Eukaryota; Metazoa; Chordata; Mammalia; Carnivora; Canidae
Source: Rfam